GGAAAUAAAAGUCGUAACAAGGUUUCCGUAGGUGAACCUGCGGAAGGAUCAUUACUGAGUGAGGGUUCUCUCUAUGAGCCCAACCUCCCACCCGUGUUUACCUGUACCUAGUUGCUUCGGCGAGCCCACUGGGGAUAUCGUCCCUGGUCGCUUGGGAAGGAGGAAGCUCCAGCCCGGGCCUGUUGCUCGCCGGAGGUCUGAACUACGAAUCCUGAUAUCGAAUCGAAUUGAGUCUGAGUUAAUGAUGUAAAUCGUUAAAACUUUCAACAACGGACCUCCUGGUUCCG
Molecule: unclassified non-coding RNA, 287 nt
Filed under: plant metagenome
Description: partial contains small subunit ribosomal RNA and internal transcribed spacer 1
Rfam family: Eukaryotic small subunit ribosomal RNA (bases 1-54)
Source: RNAcentral